This 321-nucleotide long non-coding RNA is filed under the name Homo sapiens (human). RNAcentral's name for it is "HSALNT0019888". Lineage: Eukaryota; Metazoa; Chordata; Mammalia; Primates; Hominidae. The record is from RNAcentral.
AUGAAAUAAUUUAAAAUCAAGCAGCACUUGCUGAAAUUGCUUCACUAAAGCAAAAGAGUGAAGACAGCAGUGUUUAGUGAAAACGAGUGAAUGAUGAAGGAGAAGGUGAAAUAGGCUGGGGUGGAGCAUAGGGAUAGAGAGAGGAAUAUUGCUGAGCAACCAGGAGGAGACAGGACCAAGAGGAAAAAGGACAAGAAUUAAAAGGGAUGCACCCAAGACCAAUUGUUCAUCCCAUCCCUGUCAGCAAGUUUUCUUCAUGGCAAAAUACAUUUUGUGUUUGUGGAUCCAUUCUUUUUGUUCUGUUCUUGCAUAAAAAUCAAU